GUGGGGAAUAUUGGACAAUGGGCGAAAGCCUGAUCCAGCCAUGCCGCGUGUGUGAAGAAGGUCUUCGGAUUGUAAAGCACUUUAAGUUGGGAGGAAGGGCAGUAAGUUAAUACCUUGCUGUUUUGACGUUACCGACAGAAUAAGCACCGGCUAACUUCGUGCCAGCAGCCGCGGUAAUACGAAGGGUGCAAGCGUUAAUCGGAAUUACUGGGCGUAUAGCGCGCGUAGGUGGUUUUGUAAGUUGGAGGUGAAAUCCCCGGGCUCAACCUGGGAACUGCCUCCAAAACUGGAUGACUAGAGUACGGUAGAGUGUAGUGGAAUUUCCUGUGUAGCGGUGAAAUGCGUAGAUAUAGGAAGGAACACCAGUGGCGAAGGCGACUACCUGGACUGAUACUGACACUGAGGUGCGAAAGCGUGGGGAGCAAACAGGAUUAGAAACCCUGGUAGUCC
RNAcentral lists this ribosomal RNA (450 nucleotides) under uncultured bacterium. RNAcentral's name for it is "partial 16S ribosomal RNA". It matches the Rfam family "Bacterial small subunit ribosomal RNA", at positions 354 to 796 of the family's 1533-position model. The record is from RNAcentral.